GGGCCCGUAGUCUAGCCUGGACUAGGAUGCAAGGUUCGGGUCCUUGUGGUCCCGGGUUCAAAUCCCGGCGGGCCCA
Molecule: transfer RNA, 76 nt
Filed under: Sulfolobaceae archaeon
Lineage: Archaea; Thermoproteati; Thermoproteota; Thermoprotei; Sulfolobales; Sulfolobaceae
Rfam family: tRNA
About the family: Transfer RNA (tRNA) molecules are approximately 80 nucleotides in length. Their secondary structure includes four short double-helical elements and three loops (D, anti-codon, and T loops). Further hydrogen bonds mediate the characteristic L-shaped molecular structure. tRNAs have two regions of fundamental functional importance: the anti-codon, which is responsible for specific mRNA codon recognition, and the 3' end, to which the tRNAs corresponding amino acid is attached (by aminoacyl-tRNA synthetases). tRNAs cope with the degeneracy of the genetic code in two manners: having more than one tRNA (with a specific anti-codon) for a particular amino acid; and 'wobble' base-pairing, i.e. permitting non-standard base-pairing at the 3rd anti-codon position.
Source: Rfam by way of RNAcentral